UACGUAGGGGGCGAGCGUUAUCCGGAAUUACUGGGUGUAAAGGGAGCGUAGACGGCGAGGUAAGCCUGAAGUGGAAGCCCGCGGCCCAACCGCGGAACUGCUUUGGGAACUGUUUUGCUGGAGUAUGGGAGGGGUAAGCGGAAUUCCUGGUGUAGCGGUGAAAUGCGUAGAUAUCAGGAGGAACACCGGUGGCGAAGGCGGCUUACUGGACCAUAACUGACGUUGAGGCUCGAAAGCGUGGGGAGCGAACA
This 251-nucleotide ribosomal RNA is filed under the name uncultured bacterium. RNAcentral describes it as "partial 16S ribosomal RNA". It matches the Rfam family "Bacterial small subunit ribosomal RNA", at positions 524 to 774 of the family's 1533-position model. The record is from RNAcentral.